Molecule: ribosomal RNA, 278 nt
Filed under: uncultured bacterium
Lineage: Bacteria
Description: partial 16S ribosomal RNA
Rfam family: Bacterial small subunit ribosomal RNA
Source: RNAcentral
CCUGCGCCUGCCGGCGACCGGCGCACGGGUGAGUAACACGUAUGGAACCUGCCCGCCACAGGGGGAUAACCCGGGGAAACCCGGCCUAAUACCCCAUGCCGCCCGGACCGGGCAUCCGGUCCGGGCGAAAGGAGGAAUCCGGUGGCGGCUGGGCAUGCGGCGCAUUAGCUUGACGGCGGGGUAACGGCCCACCGUGGCGACGAUGCGUAGGGGUUCUGAGAGGAAGGCCCCCCACACUGGAACUGAGACACGGUCCAGACUCCUACGGGAGGCAGCAG